UUUAUUUGUGUAUUGACAAAAUGGUAAAAAAAAUGUUGAGAUUUCUCAAAUUUGAUUUAAUGGUUUUCUAACACUUACAUUUUCAAUUCUAAGAAGCAAUUAAUUUAACUUUACAGAUUUUUCAUUUUAUAAAACAGCUGCAACAGUAUAACGAAUGCACAUUUUUUAUUUAUACUCUUUAAAUAAAGACAUGUUAAAAUGUGUUUUAUUCUUAGUACAAACAUAUAGAAUGAAAUUCA
RNAcentral lists this long non-coding RNA (239 nucleotides) under Mytilus galloprovincialis (Mediterranean mussel). Lineage: Eukaryota; Metazoa; Mollusca; Bivalvia; Mytilida; Mytilidae. The record is from RNAcentral.